Molecule: transfer RNA, 76 nt
Filed under: Spirochaetia bacterium
Lineage: Bacteria; Pseudomonadati; Spirochaetota; Spirochaetia
Description: tRNA-Arg
Rfam family: tRNA
About the family: Transfer RNA (tRNA) molecules are approximately 80 nucleotides in length. Their secondary structure includes four short double-helical elements and three loops (D, anti-codon, and T loops).
Source: RNAcentral
AGCAUCUUUAGCUAAAUUGGUGAAAGCGCCUAACUUCGGAUUAGGAGAUUGUGGGUUCGAGUCCUUCAAGGUGCUG